CCCAUGUGUAGAUGCCCUGGGCCCCUCAGCCCUUGGGAGUGGUGACCCGUGCCUCCAGGGUGUACUGGGCCCAGGGACUGGCUUCUUCACGCACCUUCCUUGGCCUUCCUCCCAACCCACUUGCCUUGAGUCACUGGCCCUGAGUCGGUUUCUGGGGCCCAGCCUGGGGCGGGCCAACCGGGGCGACCCGGUGACAUCUGACCUUUGCUGACGCUGAUUCCUACAGCCAUCGAGCUCCCUGAGCGUGAAGAAUUUGGUCUCCAAGCUAUGCUCCCCGACUGGCCUGGACCUGGGCACCCCGCGGAUGGCAGCAGAGGCCGGCGGUCCAGCCCUGAGCGCUCAGGCCCUCAAGGAGAUGGCCGUGAGCACCAAGGGCAUCGCCCGCAUCGCGGCCACCCGACGCUCCAAGGCACAGGAACGCGAGGGUGGCAGAGGCCACUCCUCCCUCCACCUUCCGGAGGAGGUGGCCCUGGACUCCAGGGACCCGAAGGCCAGUGUCACCCCAGACCCGAGCCCAGCGGACCGGAGGCGGCCCCUCGCCAGCCCGGGCAGGGACCGCUCUGCAGAGAGGAAGCACAGGAGGAAGCGGUCACCCUCCCUCACCUGGAACGCGCAGCCGGUGAUGGAGCCCGUGGCUGAGAGCCAGCUGCCCCCGGCACUCCCGCAGCUGACAAAGUCGUCCGGAAAGAGCUUCUUCCCCGCCGUCCCCAUGGCCUCCAAGAGGAAACCCAGCCUGGGUGUCCACGCAGACGAGAAGAUGCCCCCGGUGCCUGAGGUCAGCUUCACCUUCCCCAGCGCCACGUGGCACAGCAGCCCGGGCCCGGGCAAGGCCCCGCUCCUGCCCCGGGACAUCCGAGGGUCUACAGAUAGCGGAGGCCGGCACCACAGCCCACUGCCCCCCAGUGCCCCCCACAAGCCCCGGGGCAGCGCCAAGCGGCCACAAAGGCCACAAUGA
RNAcentral lists this long non-coding RNA (955 nucleotides) under Ailuropoda melanoleuca (giant panda). RNAcentral describes it as "lncRNA (ENSAMEG00000024211.1)". Lineage: Eukaryota; Metazoa; Chordata; Mammalia; Carnivora; Ursidae. The record is from RNAcentral.